RNAcentral lists this ribosomal RNA (492 nucleotides) under uncultured bacterium. RNAcentral describes it as "partial 16S ribosomal RNA". It matches the Rfam family "Bacterial small subunit ribosomal RNA", at positions 29 to 507 of the family's 1533-position model. The record is from RNAcentral.
AGUGAACGCUGGCGGUAGGCCUAACACAUGCAAGUCGAACGGCAGCACAGUAAGAGCUUGCUCUUACGGGUGGCGAGUGGCGGACGGGUGAGGAAUACAUCGGAAUCUACUUUUUCGUGGGGGAUAACGGAGGGAAACUUACGCUAAUACCGCAUACGACCUACGGGUGAAAGCAGGGGAUAUUCGGACCUUGCGCGAUUGAAUGAGCCGAUGUCGGAUUAGCUAGUUGGCGGGGUAAAGGCCCACCAAGGCGACGAUCCGUAGCUGGUCUGAGAGGAUGAUCAGCCACACUGGAACUGAGACACGGUCCAGACUCCUACGGGAGGCAGCAGUGGGGAAUAUUGGACAAUGGGCGCAAGCCUGAUCCAGCCAUACCGCGUGGGUGAAGAAGGCCUUCGGGUUGUAAAGCCCUUUUGUUGGGAAAGAAAAGCAGCAGGUUAAUACCCCGCUGUUCUGACGGUACCCAAAGAAUAAGCACCGGCUAACUUCGUG